GGCAUAUCCCAUUCUGUCAGUCUUCCUGUGAUUUCGUUUUUGUUUGCCACUCAAUUAGACAUCACUUUUAAACAUGGCUGCUUCCUUCUACAAACUAACUUUACCUUUAUUGUUUGAGACUAAAGGUGUGUAGAGGUUAUGUUUGUAUUCCAGCCAGAGGAACUAAUGGUAUAUGCUAAGGGCUGAGCCACACCAAAACUAGAAACAAGAUUUUUCAAUAAAUAACAGAAUCACAGGUUCACAGUGUGAUCAAAUAUUCUGCAACAACAAAGCAUGGUUUUUAUAUGUACUCAGAAAAACCAUACCUGCUGAUGUUGCUAUAUUGCCAUUUUCUUUUAUCCAGGAUUCACCUUUGUUUGAUCUCAUAAAGCAGUCCAAGGAUGGGGAAGGACCUGAUCACCUUGAGUCUGCUUGUUCUCUCAGCCUCCCUCUCCAGAGUAACCACACUGCAGCAGAUAUGUAUCUUUCUCCUAUAAGAUCUCCAAAGAAAAGAACUUCUACUACACGUGUAAAUUCUGCGGCAAAUACAGAGACGCAAGCAGCCUCAGCCUUCCAUACUCAGAAGCCAUUGAAAUCUACCUCCCUUUCCCUGUUUUACAAAAAAGUGUACCGUCUAGCAUAUCUCCGACUAAAUACACUGUGUGCGCGCCUUCUGUCUGAUCACCCAGAGCUAGAACACAUCAUCUGGACUCUGUUUCAGCAUACAUUGGAAAAUGAGUAUGAGCUCAUGAAAGA
This 735-nucleotide long non-coding RNA is filed under the name Rattus norvegicus (Norway rat). RNAcentral describes it as "long non-coding RNA NONRATT011078". The record is from RNAcentral. Lineage: Eukaryota; Metazoa; Chordata; Mammalia; Rodentia; Muridae.